CCUAACACAUGCAAGUCGAACGGUAACAGGAAACAGCUUGCUUUUUUGCUGACGAGUGGCGGACGGGUGAGUAAUGUCUGGGAAACUGCCUGAUGGAGGGGGAUAACUACUGGAAACGGUAGCUAAUACCGCAUAACGUCGCAAGACCAAAGAGGGGGACCUUCGGGCCUCUUGCCAUCAGAUGUGCCCAGAUGGGAUUAGCUAGUAGGUGGGGUAACGGCUCACCUAGGCGACGAUCCCUAGCUGGUCUGAGAGGAUGACCAGCCACACUGGAACUGAGACACGGUCCAGACUCCUACGGGAGGCAGCAGUGGGGAAUAUUGCACAAUGGGCGCAAGCCUGAUGCAGCCAUGCCGCGUGUAUGAAGAAGGCCUUCGGGUUGUAAAGUACUUUCAGCGGGGAGGAAGGGAGUAAAGUUAAUACCUUUGCUCAUUGACGUUACCCGCAGAAGAAGCACCGGCUAACUCCGUGCCAGCAGCCGCGGUAAUACGGAGGGUGCAAGCGUUAAUCGGAAUUACUGGGCGUAAAGCGCACGCAGGCGGUUUGUUAAGUCAGAUGUGAAAUCCCCGGGCUCAACCUGGGAACUGCAUCUGAUACUGGCAAGCUUGAGUCUCGUAGAGGGGGGUAGAAUUCCAGGUGUAGCGGUGAAAUGCGUAGAGAUCUGGAGGAAUACCGGUGGCGAAGGCG
Molecule: ribosomal RNA, 687 nt
Filed under: uncultured bacterium
Lineage: Bacteria
Description: bacterial SSU rRNA
Rfam family: Bacterial small subunit ribosomal RNA
Source: RNAcentral